GUCGGCGGGGUAACGGCCCACCGAGCCUACGACGGGUAGCCGGCCUGAGAGGGCGACCGGCCACAUUGGGACUGAGAUACGGCCCAGACUCCUACGGGAGGCAGCAGUGGGGAAUAUUGCACAAUGGGCGCAAGCCUGAUGCAGCGACGCCGCGUGCGGGAUGACGGCCUUCGGGUUGUAAACCGCUUUUGAUCGGGAGCAAGCCUUCGGGUGAGUGUACCUUUCGAAUAAGCACCGGCUAACUACGUGCCAGCAGCCGCGGUAAUACGUAGGGUGCAAGCGUUAUCCGGAAUUAUUGGG
RNAcentral lists this ribosomal RNA (300 nucleotides) under Bifidobacterium catenulatum. RNAcentral describes it as "bacterial SSU rRNA". It matches the Rfam family "Bacterial small subunit ribosomal RNA", at positions 248 to 558 of the family's 1533-position model. Lineage: Bacteria; Bacillati; Actinomycetota; Actinomycetes; Bifidobacteriales; Bifidobacteriaceae. The record is from RNAcentral.